RNAcentral lists this long non-coding RNA (1329 nucleotides) under Sus scrofa (pig). RNAcentral describes it as "lncRNA (ENSSSCG00065017391.1)". Lineage: Eukaryota; Metazoa; Chordata; Mammalia; Artiodactyla; Suidae. The record is from RNAcentral.
GUACGUUACAAUGUGGGGUCACUGAUUUCAGGGUGUGGCUUGAGUCCUGGCUGAGUCUAAGAUUGUCAUGCUCUAGCCCGUCGUGUGUUGCUGUAUGCCGAGAUGGAGGGCAGCAAGGAAGCCACCACGGACACUGCCCCAGGCCACUGCAGCGCAGCCGUUUGCUGUUGGAGGCUGAGUCAGUGUCCGAGUUGCUGUUGGAGCACAUUCUGGUCAAAGAGCCCUAGGAACCCAAGGGGCCUCCUCUCCUUCAGGCUGAAAUACCUGGCUGCUGCUGGGGUGGGGGGACCCCAUGGCAGUGCUCAGUGCUGAGCUGUGGCUACUGGGCACCUCUUCUCAUCUGGCCAUUUUUUUUUCACCUCAUCGUGUCCACAUAAACCUGUGAUCACAUCUUUAUUUCAAAUUCAGCAUGCUUCUCUGGGAAAAUGGCCAGAAACUUGGCAGACUCUCUGGGCUCCGUGUGAGGGGACAGGCACAUCCCUGGCUUGAAUCCCGAAUGGGCAGUUUUCUGAAACCAGGCUGACAUCCCCUCCUCUCCUGCUGUGUUGUUCAGUUCUCUGAGAGGAAGAGGACGAUGACACUGGUCCAUGCCCAAGACCAGCGCUUAAAACGACAAGCCCAAUGUUUAACACGGUUGUUUCUGGGCCCAAAGGUCUGCCUCUGGAGAAACAGGGCAAGCUGGCCCAUGGAACAUGUCACACUCUUGCAACCGGGGCACCUGAUCAGGCUGGAUGUGCCCAUCAGAUGCUGAAGGCACAGCUGCGUCCCUGCCCUGAGCUCAGCCCCCCUGGGGCUGCCCUGGCCUUGGAUACCCCCCAGCUGGAUUUGUUUCCAGAUCUGCUUCUCAACCCAAGGAGAUGCCCCAACAGACAGGGUCAUGACUUUUUCGAAGUCUCCCAGUGCACACCCCACCCUAGACCACCCACUACCUGAAAUCUGUCAGAGGCCCCACAUUGUCAAUCCUGUGAAGAGCAUUUAAAAGAAUCAGCACCCUUUAGGCCCGUGAACUAUACUUAAAUCAGUAAACCUCCGCCCCCACACAUGUUACAUGUUUUCAGAUGGGUCCCACUAACAGGGUUCCGGUAGAGGAGGAAGAGGCUCAGAUGGGAAGGGAAGCAGGACACUUGGGGAGGACACCUGAGAGAAAAAACCCUCAGGGACCCCAAAGCCGACCACCAAUCUAUCAUGAGGUUUCCAUGCUCCGUUCAUGAAAAGACCCCUUUUCUUUUUCUUUUCCUUUCUUUUUUUCCCCUUUUAGAGCUGCAGGGUCAUAUGGAAGUUCCCAGGCAGGGGGUCAGAAUGGAGCGAUGGCUGCUGGCCUACACCACA